UUGAACGCUGGCGGUAUGCUUAACACAUGCAAGUCGAACGGAAACGAUACUAGCUUGCUAGUAGGCGUCGAGUGGCGGACGGGUGAGUAACGCGUAGGAAUCUGCCUGAUAGUGGGGGAUAGCCCGAAGAAAUUCGGAUUAAUACCGCAUAAUCUAUUCGUAGUAAAGUGGGGGACUUUCGAGCCUCACGCUAUCAGAUGAGCCUGCGUAAGAUUAGCUUGUUGGUAGGGUAAAAGCCUACCAAGGCGACGAUCUUUAGCUGGUCUGAGAGGAUGAUCAGCCACAUCGGGACUGAGACACGGCCCGAACUCCUACGGGAGGCAGCAGUGGGGAAUAUUGGACAAUGGGGGCAACCCUGAUCCAGCAAUACCGCGUGUGUGAAGAAGGCCUGAGGGUUGUAAAGCACUUUCAAUUGUGAAGAAAAGUUAGCGGUUAAUAACCGUUAGCCUUGACGUUAACUUUAGAAGAAGCACCGGCUAACUCCGUGCCAGCAGCCGCGGUAAUACGGAGGGUGCAAGCGUUAAUCGGAAUUACUGGGCGUAAAGCGUGCGUAGGCGGUUUAUUAAGUCAGAUGUGAAAGCCCCGGGCUUAACCUGGGAACUGCAUUUGAAACUGGUCAACUAGAGUAUGGUAGAGGAAAGUGGAAUUUCUGGUGUAGCGGUGAAAUGCGUAGAUAUCAGAAGGAACAUCAAUGGCGAAGGCAGCUUUCUGGACCAAUACUGACGCUGAGGUACGAAAGCGUGGGUAGCAAACAGGAUUAGAUACCCUGGUAGUCCACGCCGUAAACGAUGAUAACUAGCCGUUGGGGGGAUUUACCCCUUAGUGGCGAAGCUAACGCGUUAAGUUAUCCGCCUGGGGAGUACGGCCGCAAGGUUAAAACUCAAAGGAAUUGACGGGGACCCGCACAAGCGGUGGAGCAUGUGGUUUAAUUCGAUGCAACGCGAAGAACCUUACCUGGUCUUGACAUCCUGCGAACUUUCUAGAAAUAGAUUGGUGCCUUCGGGAACGCAGUGACAGGUGCUGCAUGGCUGUCGUCAGCUCGUGUCGUGAGAUGUUGGGUUAAGUCCCGUAACGAGCGCAACCCCUAUCCUUAUUUGCCAGCACAUCAUGGUGGGAACUAUAAGGAGACUGCCGGUGAUAAACCGGAGGAAGGCGGGGACGACGUCAAGUCAUCAUGGCCCUUACGACCAGGGCUACACACGUGCUACAAUGGGAAGGACAAAGAGCCGCGAAGCCGCGAGGUGUAGCUAAUCUCAUAAACCUUUUCGUAGUCCGGAUUGGAGUCUGCAACUCGACUCCAUGAAGUCGGAAUCGCUAGUAAUCGUAGAUCAGAAUGCUACGGUGAAUACGUUCCCGGGUCUUGUACUCACCGCCCGUCAAGGG
This 1383-nucleotide ribosomal RNA is filed under the name uncultured bacterium. Its description in RNAcentral is "bacterial SSU rRNA". It matches the Rfam family "Bacterial small subunit ribosomal RNA", at positions 29 to 1403 of the family's 1533-position model. The record is from RNAcentral.